GCCUAGUUAGCUUAGUUGGUAGCGCGACUGCCUUGUAAGCGCUAGGCCGCGGGUUCGAAUCCCGCCCGGGGUG
RNAcentral lists this transfer RNA (73 nucleotides) under Diaphorina citri (Asian citrus psyllid). It matches the Rfam family "tRNA". From Rfam's summary of the family: Transfer RNA (tRNA) molecules are approximately 80 nucleotides in length. Their secondary structure includes four short double-helical elements and three loops (D, anti-codon, and T loops). The record is from Rfam by way of RNAcentral. Lineage: Eukaryota; Metazoa; Arthropoda; Insecta; Hemiptera; Psyllidae.